Molecule: ribosomal RNA, 654 nt
Filed under: Sebacinales sp. B KN-2014
Lineage: Eukaryota; Fungi; Basidiomycota; Agaricomycetes; Sebacinales
Description: eukaryotic LSU rRNA
Rfam family: Eukaryotic large subunit ribosomal RNA
Source: RNAcentral
UUGACCUCAAAUCGGGUGGGACUACCCGCUGAACUUAAGCAUAUCAAUAAGCGGAGGAAAAGAAACUAACAAGGAUUCCCCUAGUAACGGCGAGUGAAGAGGGAAGAGCUCAAAUUUUGAAUCUGGUGUCUUUGGCGCCCGAGUUGUAAUCUAGAGAAGUGUUUUCCGCGUUGGACCGUUCACAAGUUUUCUGGAAUGAGGCUUCAUAGAGGGUGAGAAUCCCGUAUCUGGAACGGACUACCAAUGCUCUGUGAUACACUCUCAACGAGUCGAGUUGUUUGGGAAUGCAGCUCAAAAUGGGUGGUAAAUUCCAUCUAAAGCUAAAUAUUGGCGAGAGACCGAUAGCGAACAAGUACCGUGAGGGAAAGAUGAAAAGCACUUUGGAAAGAGAGUGAAACAGUACGUGAAAUUGUUGAAAGGGAAGCGUUUGAAGUCAGUCAUAUCUGUCGGGAUUCAGCUUGGCUUUUGCCUUGUGUACUUUCCGUCCGAUGGGUCAGCAUCAAUUCAGACCGAGGGAAAAAGGCGUUUGGAAUGUGGCUGUCUUCGGGCAGUGUUAUAGCCUCGCGUUGUAUGUCUCGGUUGGGAUUGAGGAACGCAACGCGCCACUUAAUUGGCCGGGGGUUAAGUCCUCUCGUAUCGCGCUUAGGAUGCUGG